GGCUCAAUAGCUCAGUUGGUUAGAGCGCCAGCCUGUCACGCUGGAGGUCGAGGGUUCGAGCCCCUUUUGAGUCGCCA
This 77-nucleotide transfer RNA is filed under the name Thermoanaerobacteraceae bacterium. RNAcentral describes it as "tRNA-Asp". It matches the Rfam family "tRNA". Rfam says of the family: Transfer RNA (tRNA) molecules are approximately 80 nucleotides in length. Their secondary structure includes four short double-helical elements and three loops (D, anti-codon, and T loops). Lineage: Bacteria; Bacillati; Bacillota; Clostridia; Thermoanaerobacterales; Thermoanaerobacteraceae. The record is from RNAcentral. RNAcentral also lists the same sequence under 2 other names.